Molecule: ribosomal RNA, 492 nt
Filed under: uncultured bacterium
Lineage: Bacteria
Description: partial 16S ribosomal RNA
Rfam family: Bacterial small subunit ribosomal RNA
Source: RNAcentral
GAUGAACGCUAGCUACAGGCUUAACACAUGCAAGUCGAGGGGAAACGGCAUUGAGUGCUUGCACUCUUUGGACGUCGACCGGCGCACGGGUGAGUAACGCGUAUCCAACCUUCCCAUUACUGUGGGAUAACCUGCCGAAAGGCAGACUAAUACCGCAUAGUCUUCGAUGACGGCAUCAGAUUUGAAGUAAAGAUUUAUCGGUAAUGGAUGGGGAUGCGUCUGAUUAGCUUGUUGGCGGGGUAACGGCCCACCAAGGCUACGAUCAGUAGGGGUUCUGAGAGGAAGGUCCCCCACAUUGGAACUGAGACACGGUCCAAACUCCUACGGGAGGCAGCAGUGAGGAAUAUUGGUCAAUGGACGGAAGUCUGAACCAGCCAAGUAGCGUGCAGGAUGACGGCCCUAUGGGUUGUAAACUGCUUUUGUAUGGGGAUAAAGUUAGGGACGGGUCCCUAUUUGCAGGUACCAUACGAAUAAGAACCGGCUAAUUCCGUG